AAUCAACGCUGGCGGCGUGCCUAACACAUGCAAGUCGAACGAGAAAGUGGAGCAAUCCAUGAGUACAGUGGCGCACGGGUGAGUAACACGUGACUACCUACCCUCGAGUGGGGAAUAACCUCGGGAAACCGGGGCUAACACCGCAUAAUAUCUACGGAUCAAAUGCGAAAGCAGCUUGAGGAGGGGGUCGCGGCCGAUUAGCUAGUUGGUGAGGUAAUGGCUCACCAAGGCAAUGAUCGGUAGCCGGCCUGAGAGGGCGCACGGCCACACUGGAACUGAAACACGGUCCAGACUCCUACGGGAGGCAGCAGUGGGGAAUUUUGCGCAAUGGGGGAAACCCUGACGCAGCAACGCCGCGUGGAGGAUGAAGCCCCUUGGGUGUAAACUCCUUUCGAUCGGGACGAUAAUGACGGUACCGGAAGAAGAAGCACCGGCUAACUCUGUGCCAGCAGCAGCCGCGGU
Molecule: ribosomal RNA, 462 nt
Filed under: uncultured bacterium
Lineage: Bacteria
Description: bacterial SSU rRNA
Rfam family: Bacterial small subunit ribosomal RNA
Source: RNAcentral